Molecule: ribosomal RNA, 449 nt
Filed under: uncultured organism
Description: partial 16S ribosomal RNA
Rfam family: Bacterial small subunit ribosomal RNA
Source: RNAcentral
GUACACUCCUACGGGAGGCAGCAGUGGGGAAUAUUGGACAAUGGGCGCAAGCCUGAUCCAGCCAUGCCGCGUGAGUGAUGAAGGCCCUAGGGUUGUAAAGCUCUUUCACCGGUGAAGAUAAUGACGGUAACCGGAGAAGAAGCCCCGGCUAACUUCGUGCCAGCAGCCGCGGUAAUACGAAGGGGGCUAGCGUUGUUCGGCUUUACUGGGCGUAAAGCGCACGUAGGCGGACUAUUAAGUCAGGGGUGAAAUCCCGGGGCUCAACCCCGGAACUGCCUUUGAUACUGGUAGUCUUGAGUGCGAGAGAGGUGAGUGGAAUUCCGAGUGUAGAGGUGAAAUUCGUAGAUAUUCGGAGGAACACCAGUGGCGAAGGCGGCUCACUGGCUCGAUACUGACGCUGAGGUGCGAAAGCGUGGGGAGCAAACAGGAUUAGAUACCCCGGUAGUCCC